This 555-nucleotide small RNA is filed under the name Pan troglodytes (chimpanzee). RNAcentral's name for it is "processed transcript". Lineage: Eukaryota; Metazoa; Chordata; Mammalia; Primates; Hominidae. The record is from RNAcentral.
CUGUCAGCAGAUCCUGAACACUCCUUGGUGGGGACCCAUGCCUCCAAGGCUGCCCCCAAUGCCAGCUGUCCUGGGGAAACUCCCCAGAACUCUCGGGGAAAGGCCCGAGAACCUUCGGAGGAAGCCUCCGGGACUCCUCGCCACCUGCUCUGUUUCUCUCCCGGCCCCAAUGCCUUCAGGAGUCCCCCAAAAUCCACACAGCGACUCGAGCAGCCUUCCACUCAGCCAGAGGAGGGUCGGGCUCCCCCGCCUGCUCUCGGUGGUGGCGUCUGGCCCUUCCUGCCGUUUCCAAGGCCUCCGGAAGCACCAACCCAGUUCUCAGUUACCUCCUCUGGCCGGAAGGCCUCACGUUGUCCUCCAGAGCUGCUCUGGGCCCAGGGCUGGCUCCGUGACCACCUGAUGGACGUGCUGGGCAGCAUGGGCUCCAAAGGCAGCAUCCCCAGCUGUUCUCCCACCCCACCCCAGCUGCCCGGCGGCUGGGCCCAUGAGGGCUCUGGGGACACUUCCAUAGGAAGGGGCCUGGCACUUUGUGAUUGCCACGUGUUUCGUGUUAAG